This 335-nucleotide ribosomal RNA is filed under the name uncultured bacterium. RNAcentral's name for it is "bacterial SSU rRNA". It matches the Rfam family "Bacterial small subunit ribosomal RNA", at positions 29 to 351 of the family's 1533-position model. The record is from RNAcentral.
AACGAACGCUGGCGGCGUGUCUAAUACAUGCAAGUCGUACGAGAAAGCCCGGCUUCGGUUGGGUGAGUAAAGUGGCGAACGGGUGAGUAACACGUGGGCAAUCUGCCCUUAGGUCUGGGAUAAGCUCGGGAAACUGGGUCUAAUACCGGAUAACAUCCCUGGAGGACAUCCUCCGGGGAUCAAAGGCGGGGCAACCUGCCGCUUAGGGAUGAGCCCGCGCUCCAUUAGCUUGUUGGUGAGGUAACGGCCCACCAAGGCUCCGAUGGAUAGCCGGCCUGAGAGGGUGAACGGCCACACUGGGACUGAGAUACGGCCCAGACUCCUACGGGAGGCUG